UACAGAGGGUGCGAGCGUUAAUCGGAAUUACUGGGCGUACAGCGCGCGUAGGCGGUUUUGUAAGUCGGGUGUGAAAUCCCCAAGCUUAACUUGGGAACUGCAUUCGAGACUGCAUAGCUAGAGUAUGGGAGAGGGAAGUGGAAUUUCAGGUGUAGCGGUGAAAUGCGUAGAUAUCUGAAGGAACAUCAGUGGCGAAAGCGACUUCCUGGACCAAUACUGACGCUCAUGUGCGAAAGCGUGGGGAGCAAACAGG
RNAcentral lists this ribosomal RNA (253 nucleotides) under uncultured bacterium. RNAcentral's name for it is "partial 16S ribosomal RNA". It matches the Rfam family "Bacterial small subunit ribosomal RNA", at positions 524 to 776 of the family's 1533-position model. The record is from RNAcentral.